Molecule: long non-coding RNA, 4025 nt
Filed under: Oncorhynchus kisutch (coho salmon)
Lineage: Eukaryota; Metazoa; Chordata; Actinopteri; Salmoniformes; Salmonidae
Description: lncRNA (ENSOKIG00005044168.1)
Source: RNAcentral
UGAGGCCUUAUUUCCAGGACUCUGGAGAAAUCGAUGGAAAUAGAUGGUGAUGUACCAGCGGAUUCCAGGUUCUGACCCGUGGAAUGCUGAAUGUAUGUCUACAGAACAAGUGGACGAAAAUUAUAAAUGAAAUUAUAUUAAAUUGGGAGGGUGUCCGUAUGGGGAUUACAGGAUAACAGACUUGGGACAGUUCUGGGAUUGGAAGAGAGGGUAUCCUUAUAGCAUAGGGGAUCCCACAAAGGUGGAUAGGUUUUCCAUGAUAUGGGAAAACCUGGGAGCACUGUUGAACUUUGUAAAGGUGAUGAAAUCUUGCUAACCAUCAAAACGAUUAAGCUCUCUGAUGCAGGCACUUACACCCUCGGACUACAAAGGACCGGGACAGACACGAUGGGUGUGUUUUCUAUUAAGGUGCUGCCAAAACCAGAGGUCCCAGAUGAACCAGGGCCAGACACACUCCUCUACCACCCCUGGACCGAACCUGCCACCACUGUGUUAAAAAUCCCAUUCAGGUAAUUAAUGUUAGACUAUUCAGCUAUUGAUCAAUUAGGCAGUGAGACUGGUGUUAUUGGUAGGGACAAUUUGUGGCUUUCUUAUAUGAGGUACAGUUAAGACCCUGAAAAGAAAGGACUACAUGAGUUACAUGAAACAUUGGUCAUGAUAGACCUGUUCUGGCUACACACCCAUUUGCUAUAGGAGAAGGAGAGGGGUGGUUGUGUAUUCUGAGAGGUUUAUACCUGGUUGAGGCCAAUUCAACUCUCUGUUCCUCUUUGAGCCUUGUGUUUCCUACAGUACCUCCUCAUCGGGCCCCUUGGGGUGUUGAGGCAUAUGGGGGCAAUUACAGUUGCAUCACGGGUACAGGUAAUGGCAUUGAUUAUGGGAGAUUGCCUGAAGCUGAUUGCAGUAGUAACAACCAUUAAUUCCACUUGGCCAGUUACAGGCCUAAACCAAACUAGUGGUUAUGUUACUACUGCAAUCAGCUUCAGGCAAUCUCCCAUAAUCAAUGCCAUUACCUGUACCCGUGAUGCAACUGUAAUUGCCCCCAUAUGCCUCAACACCCCAAGGGGCCCGAUGAGGAGGUACUGUAGGAAACACAAGGCUCAAAGAGGAACAGAGAGUUGAAUUGGCCUCAACCAGGUAUAAACCUCUCAGAAUACACAACCACCCCUCUCCUUCUCCUAUAGCAAAUGGGUGUGUAGCCAGAACAGGUCCAUCAUGACCAAUGUUUCAUGUAACUCAUGUAGUCCUUUCUUUUCAGGGUCUUAACUGUACCUCAUAAGAAAGCCACAAAUUGUCCCUACCAAUAACACCAGUCUCAGUGCCUAAUUGAUCAAUAGCUGAAUAGUCUAACAUUAAUUACCUGAAUGGGAUUUUUUAAUACAGUGGUGGCAGGUUCGGUCCAGGGGUGGUAGAGGAGUGUGUCUGGCCCUGGUUCAUCUGGGACCUCUGGUUUUGGCAGCACCUUAAUAGAAAACACACCCAUCGUGUCUGUCCCGGUCCUUUGUAGUCCGAGGGUGUAAGUGCCUGCAUCAGAGAGCUUAAUAGUUUUGAUGGUUAGCAAGAUUUCAUCACCUUUACAAAGUUCAACAGUGCUCCCAGGUUUUCCCAUAUCAUGAAAAACCUAUCCACCUUUGUGGGAUCCCCUAUGCUAUAAGGAUACCCUCUCUUCCAAUCCCAGAACUGUCCCAAGUCGGUUAUCCUGUAAUCCCCAUACGGACACCCUCCCAAUUUAAUAUAAUUUCAUUUAUAAUUUUCGUCCACUUGUUCUGUAGACAUACAUUCAGCAUUCCACGGGUCAGAACCUGGAAUCCGCUGGUACAUCACCAUCUAUUUCCAUCGAUUUCUCCAGAGUCCUGGAAAUAAGGCCUCAUAGACAGGGAGUUAGACAACAGCCCCAUAAAACUAAAACAGUCACACAGGUGAAUGUAGCCCAUAAUACAGUGAUCAUAAUAUUUUCCCCAUUUUCUAAACAUAUUAUCAAACCCAAUUAAUCAGAAGUAUCCACCCCAGUGUUUUCUGUCAACCCGUGAUCCAGGGUGGUCAAACCAGCUGAGGCUUCGGGUACUGAUUCAUCCGGAGCUGUGUUAUUUGGGAUGUCACCCACGAUAAGACAGCUCAGACAAACAGCUUCCAUGUGAAGCCCCACCCUUUCCCCGAGAACACAUCACUUAGCAAGAGCCAGACACAUCUUCACUUCUAUGAACAAAAACAGGGGUGACAGGACAGGGAGGAUUUUCUUCAUUCGAGAGAUGGCCCCCGGAAUUCUGUUAAUUCCAGUUCUCCUCUCGAACACUGUUUAUUGUUCGAUAGUGUCCGUGUGUCUUACCCUCCCACCGUGCGAUAUGAAUCCGGGUAGCUCUUUCAGCUAGCUGCCACCAGGAGACCUUGGUAUGGUCCCCCCAACAAGCCUCUGGGACUGGAUUGAGUGACUUCACCUGCAGUUCACCUAUAAUGCAUAAAAUGCUGGACAUACAGGCUUGGUUAACAAACAGUUUCUCAUGUUUUAUCUGAUUCUAUCUUUAACUUCUAUGCCCAUUUGUUAACUACAUUUUAAAAAAUAUUAGUUUAUCCAAUAGGCCCCAUCCUAUCCUAGACCACAAUUUACCUAUCCCCCUUUUGAUACCUGGCUUUGCCCAGGUAACAACUUUACCUACUCUAAAUAAUGACUUAGGUAAGAUUAGUAUAUUAUCCUUCUGUUCUGACAUUAUCAUGUAGGAGCGCCCCUUUAAAUUUCCCACAUGUCCAAUUCUCCCUUUUGUCUCCACUCAGUGACUGUUAUCUACACACUCCGUUAUCUUUGCUCAUCCUGGCUCCCUUCUAAAACUUCUCCUCUCUGCUCUCCAACCGUCAAGGUCUCUGCAGUGCGGGGGAGGGCUCAUCUGUCUGCCUUUUCCCAUGUUUCCACAUUUUAACUAAAUGUCUCACUGUUUGGCUUUAUCUAAACUCAUGGAUUUUUAUUUUUUGAAAAACAUGUCUAUGGUGGCAAUUACUAAAGUCUUUAUAUAGGUUAAGUAAACUCCACUAUAAUUAAAUUACCUUAAAAAAUUAAAAUUCAAAAAAAAAAAAAAAUUUAUUUUUUAUUUUUAUAAAACAGUAUUACCCAUGACCACAAAUGUAUUAUUCAAAUGGCACCCCCUUGUGGCUGAUCAGACCACCCGAGAGAGCCAUGAAAUCCGGUCACGGGUUACACCAUCCCCCCACAUUCGUGUUCCAUACCAUAUUAGACAUAUUAAAGAACCCUUUAUCCUUAAAAUAAAAUAAAAAUCACUUGUGUAAUUAAAACUCAUAAAAUAAAAAACUCAUAAAGGUUCCAUAUGUGAGCGUGCCUCUUUAAAAUAUCAUGUCUCUGGGAACAUGGAAAUCCCCUUAACCCAAACAUUUACUACAAAAACAAAACCUAAUAAUUAUGAUAAUCCCCUCAAACUCAAAUAAUUUGUCUCGAUGUUUCAUGUCUUAUUCGUGUUUCUCCAAAUUUUCUCCCAAAAAUACUUCUUAAAUACCCAGCCAUUAGACAGACACACACAACUGUGAUAAAUGUGCACUGUCCCUUUAACAUAAAAACCUCAGCCUGCAAUCCACUCUGCGGGCCUUUCAUAGUUCUCCAUAAUGAAAACAGAUUAUAAUGUUAGUAUACCUUGACCUCCUGUUUAAUUUCAAUGAUGUUAUCUGAACAAUCAAACCAAAAUCAAUACCCGGGAAGUACUUGUGUAAAUGAAUUAAAAUAACUAAAUAAUUUGGUUAGAACACCACUCCCGUCUUACAUCGACCACACCCUUCGCCCCGUACCUAGUGUACAGCUUAUCUAUUACUCAGUGGCUCAAUUAAUGUUUAACGUAAGUAUGUUCAGAUGUUGAUUAUGUAAUUCUACAACAUUAGCAUAGUUCAAACCUCAUAAUAUAAAUCCGCAAAAAGAAUUUUGCGUUAAUAGAGUUUAACACUCUUUCCAACAGUCAUGCACCCCCCUCAAUAUUCUAUGAUAUAACUCUCAUCAGCAAGCCUGCGACUUUUUCAACAUUCUCACCGGUUCC